Molecule: non-coding RNA, 126 nt
Organism: Capsicum annuum
Lineage: Eukaryota; Viridiplantae; Streptophyta; Magnoliopsida; Solanales; Solanaceae
Source: Rfam
GUGUUCGUAAAAAGGAGAGAUGGUUGGCAUUUCCCCCGACAGGGACGGGAACAACCUUUGAGCUUUACCUGUUACCACACAUCCGGUUAAGGCUUCCCACUUUUGUGGAUAUUACCCCAAUUUUUG